GCUUGUGUCGAAAGCGUCUCAUGGAUGUUGAGCUCUGCUUUAGUCCACACAGGGAAGGCAGUGUAAGGAGCGCUGAAGGAGCAUUUGGAGAGAUGGAGAGAUGAAUGUGUGUUCUCCAGCAGGAGAAUGUGGAGGCCGGGAAUGAUGGGAAUGAUGGGAGAUCAGGAGGAGUAAAGAUGUGAAAGACAAACUCGGGUGGAUCUGACCUGAUCCUGUGUCGCCCUGAAGAUUCACUGAUGUCACUUC
Sinocyclocheilus anshuiensis is the source of this 246-nucleotide long non-coding RNA. RefSeq lists it as uncharacterized. The record is from RefSeq and is a predicted model, not a curated record. The transcript has 3 exons. NCBI's taxonomy places the organism in Eukaryota, Metazoa, Chordata, Actinopteri, Cypriniformes, Cyprinidae.